UGCAAAUCCUGCGCGAAGAGGAGCCGGUGCAUUCCUGGCGCGAUCGCCUUUUAUUGAAGCUUUUAAUUAAAGGGGCCAGUUGGCGAGCCCAUGAAACAACCGCCAAAACCCCCAAAAGAGAAAAAUAAAUGCUGUAGCCUUCGGGAACGGUUGUUUCGGUUCCUGUUCUGUGGGCGGCUGAGGACCGCCGGCUGCCCGGCUCGGAGAAGAACAGGCUGGGGACAUGGAAAAUUCGAAAAAAAAAUAUUUGGUGAUUUGGACUAGUAAAGCACUUAAUCUGGAUAAGUGUACCACCCUGAAGGCUGGCUCUCCUGCUCACACAGAACUUCCAAAACCAGGACUCCUUCUCAGGAACUAAAAUGAAGGG
Myotis daubentonii (Daubenton's bat) is the source of this 367-nucleotide long non-coding RNA. RefSeq lists it as uncharacterized. The transcript has 3 exons. The record is from RefSeq and is a predicted model, not a curated record. Lineage: Eukaryota; Metazoa; Chordata; Mammalia; Chiroptera; Vespertilionidae.